GACCGCAGUAGAGAAUCUUGUGCAAUGAGCGAAAGCGUGACACAGAGAGGACGUGCCCAGUCUGUCAAACUUAAGUGCCAGCAGACGCGGUAAAACUUAAGGGCUGGUCUCUAUAACCAAAAGGCGUAAAGGAUGUGUCGGCCCAAUUAUAAGACAAGGUAAAGGGAAUUUUUCUGUAGUGGUAGAAUGCGGAAAUAGAAAAAAGAACCCCCCAAGUAAAAACAAAUUACUCUAAAGGCCGAGACAUGAGAGGGUGGGGAGCAAACAGGAUUAGAGACCCUGGUAGUCCAUCCCGGGAACUAUGAAGAUUGUGCUUGGCAGACCCGAAAGGUCAAAUCUUCCGCCUGAGUAGUACGAUCGCAAGAUUAAAAUUCAAAAAGUUUGGCUGUAUCACUUCUUAAAUUAGAGGAGCGUGUAGUUUAAUUCGAUAGUCCGCGUGUAACCUUACCCCAGCUAGAAAAAAACAGGUGUGACAUGGCCCCCUUAAGCCCAUGUACAAACAGGUGCUGCAUGGCCGUCUUAAGGCCGCGUGUUCAACAAGAGGGUGCGCAAUCCGCGCCUUAGCUCGGAGAAAGACAGGUCUCAUGGUCCUCAUGUUGGGGGAUUUAUGCACUACAUU
RNAcentral lists this ribosomal RNA (619 nucleotides) under Boloceroides mcmurrichi. RNAcentral describes it as "partial 12S ribosomal RNA". It matches the Rfam family "Bacterial small subunit ribosomal RNA", at positions 347 to 1231 of the family's 1533-position model. Lineage: Eukaryota; Metazoa; Cnidaria; Anthozoa; Actiniaria; Boloceroididae. The record is from RNAcentral.